GAGUCCAUGCUCAGCUCUCAUG
RNAcentral lists this microRNA (22 nucleotides) under Alligator mississippiensis (American alligator). RNAcentral's name for it is "ami-miR-9609-5p". The record is from miRBase by way of RNAcentral. Lineage: Eukaryota; Metazoa; Chordata; Crocodylia; Alligatoridae.